UACGUAGGUCCCGAGCGUUGUCCGGAUUUAUUGGGCGUAAAGCGAGCGCAGGUGGUUUAUUAAGUCUGAUGUAAAAGGCAGUGGCUCAACCAUUGUAUGCAUUGGAAACUGGUAGACUUGAGUGCAGGAGAGGAGAGUGGAAUUCCAUGUGUAGCGGUGAAAUGCGUAGAUAUAUGGAGGAACACCGGUGGCGAAAGCGGCUCUCUGGCCUGUAACUGACACUGAGGCUCGAAAGCGUGGGGAGCAGACAGG
This 252-nucleotide ribosomal RNA is filed under the name uncultured bacterium. RNAcentral's name for it is "partial 16S ribosomal RNA". It matches the Rfam family "Bacterial small subunit ribosomal RNA", at positions 524 to 776 of the family's 1533-position model. The record is from RNAcentral.